UACGGAGGAUGCAAGCGUUAUCCGGAAUGAUUGGGCGUAAAGAGUCCGUAGGUGGCUGAUCAAGUCUGCUGUUAAAGAGCGAGGCUUAACUUCGUCAAAGCAGUGGAAACUGAAGAGCUAGAGUGUAGUAGGGGCAGAGGGAAUUCCUGGUGUAGCGGUGAAAUGCGUAGAGAUCAGGAAGAACACCGGUGGCGAAAGCGCUCUGCUGGGCUACAACUGACACUGAGGGACGAAAGCUAGGGGAGCGAAUGGG
This 253-nucleotide unclassified non-coding RNA is filed under the name uncultured cyanobacterium. RNAcentral's name for it is "contains 16S-23S intergenic spacer region". It matches the Rfam family "Bacterial small subunit ribosomal RNA", at positions 524 to 776 of the family's 1533-position model. The record is from RNAcentral. Lineage: Bacteria; Bacillati; Cyanobacteriota.